This is a long non-coding RNA of Nerophis ophidion (straightnose pipefish), 1871 nucleotides long. RefSeq lists it as uncharacterized. Lineage: Eukaryota; Metazoa; Chordata; Actinopteri; Syngnathiformes; Syngnathidae. The transcript has 3 exons. The record is from RefSeq and is a predicted model, not a curated record.
UACAACACAGCCUGGACUACAACACACAGACUGGACUACAACACAGCCUGGACUACAACACACAGACUGGACUACAACACAGCCUGGACUACAACACACUGCCUGGACUACAACACACAGCCUGGACUACAACACACAGACUGGACUACAACACACAGCCUGGACUACAACACACAAACUGGACUACAACACAGCCUAGACUACAACACACAGACUGGACUACAACACACAGACUGGACUACAACACACAAACUGGACUACAACACAGCCUAGACUACAACACACAGACUGGACUACAACACACAGACUGGACUACAACACACAAACUGGACUACAACACACAGACUGGACUACAACACACAAACUGGACUACAACACAGCCUAGACUACAACACACAGACUGGACUACAACACACAGCCUGGACUACAACACACAGCCUGGACUACAACACACAGCCUGUUGCUUUAGUUAUUGGCUAAUGUGCUCAAGUUAGACUUUUUUCUAAUCCAAGCAAGGACAAAACUUCAUGUCUGAGGGGUGUCCUCUGCCACAGAUGUCAUCUUUGUUUUGGCCCGCUGGCAGCCAAGGACUUCAGGGACCUCAACAAAGAGGCGCCCUCACUGAUGUUGACUAUGGAACUCCGAAGAUAAAGAGGGACGCGAGAGAUGAACCUUAGAACAUGUCAUCAGUGUUUGAACCUGACAUCUGACAUCACACUGACAAAGACAAGACCUUCUGGAGGAAAGUUCUGUGGUCAGAUGAAACAAAAAGUGAGCUGUUUGGCCACAAUAGCCAGCAACAUGUUUGGAGGAGAAAAGGUGAGGCCUUUAAUCGCAGGAACACCAUACCUACCGUUAAGCAUGGUGGUGGUAGUAUUAUGCUCUGGGCCUGUUUUACUGCCAAUGGAACUGCUGCUUUAAAUGGGACAAUGAAAAAGGAGGAUUAGCUCCAAAUUCUUCAAGACAACCUACCUAAAUCAUCAGGGGGGAGGUUGGGUCUUGGGCACAGUUGGGUGUUCCAACAGGACAAUGACCCCAAACACACCUCAAAGGUGGUAAAGGAAUGGCUAAAUCAAGCUAGAAUGAAGGUUUUAGAAUGGCCUUCCCAAAGUCCUGACUUAUAAACAUGUGGACAACGCUGAAGAAACAAGUCCAGCACAUUUAGCUGAACUGCAGCAAUUUUGUGGUGAAAAAUGUGCACAGAAGCUUGUGGAUGGCUAGCAAAAGCACCUUAUUGCAGGUAAACUUGCCAAGGGACAUGUAAGCAAAUAUUAACAUUGCUGUAUGUCGGGGUCGGCAACCUGCAGCUCUUUAGCGCCGCCCUAGUGGCUCUCUGGAGCUUUUUCAAAAAUGUAUGAAAAAUGGAAAAAGAUGAAGGGAAAAAACAUAUUUUUUGUUUUAAUGUAGUUUCUGUAGGAGGACAAACAUGACACAAACCUCCCUAAUUGUUAUAAAGCACACUGUUUGUAUUAAACAUGCUUCACUGAUUCCAGUAUUUGGCGAGCGCCGUUUUCCAUCCAUCCAUUUUCUACUGCUUAUUCCCUUUUUGGGGUUGCGGGGGACGCUGGCGCUUAUCUCAGCUACAAUCGGGCGGAAGGCGGGAUACACCCUGGACAAGUCGCCACCUCAUCGCAGGGCCAACACAGAUAGACAACAUUCACACACUAGGAACCAUUUAGUGUUGCCAAUCAACCUAUCCCCAGGUGCAUGUCUUUGGAGGUGGGAGGGGCCUAUCCCCAGGUGCAUGUCUUUGGAGGUGGGAGGGGCCUAUCCCCAGGUGCAUGUCUUUGGAGGUGGGAGGGGCCUAUCCCCAGGCACAUAUCUUUGGAGGUGGGAGGGGCCUAUCCCCAGGUGCAUGUCUUUGGAGGUGG